CUCAAAACCAUAGCUCAAAAAUAGCUAAUUCAAAAAAGGUUGUCUUUUCCAAACCAUAAACCUUAAACUCUAAGCGUGCAAAGCAUAAGGGAGCAUCAUUUAAUCACUUUAGAAAACGUGGUAAAUAAUCCAUUCACAAAAAGCUACAAUAUUCAACCUUACUUAAAACUUGUGCUCCCAUUUAGCUUUGCGCGCUUAGAACACAAGUUUUAAGGUUUAGACUUUAAGGUUUGCUAAGGACAACCUUUUUUGAAUUGGCUGUAUUUCACAGCUACCGCAGCAACACACAUACACAAUAUAUAUACAUAUAUAUAUAUAUAUAUAUAUAUAUAUA
This is a non-coding RNA of Paramuricea clavata, 334 nucleotides long. The record is from the annotation of a GenBank genome assembly. Lineage: Eukaryota; Metazoa; Cnidaria; Anthozoa; Malacalcyonacea; Plexauridae.